Molecule: small RNA, 124 nt
Filed under: Marmota monax (woodchuck)
Lineage: Eukaryota; Metazoa; Chordata; Mammalia; Rodentia; Sciuridae
Source: RNAcentral
GCCAGGCAUGGUGGUGCAUGCCUAUAAUCCCAGAACUCAGGAGGCUGAGGCAGGAGGAUUGUGAGUUCAAAGCCAGCCUCAGCAAAAGCGAGGUGCUAAGCAAGUUGGUGAGACCCUGACUCUA